Small nuclear RNA from Hippopotamus amphibius kiboko, 107 nucleotides. NCBI's taxonomy places the organism in Eukaryota, Metazoa, Chordata, Mammalia, Artiodactyla, Hippopotamidae. The record is from RefSeq and is a predicted model, not a curated record.
GUGCUCACUUCAGUAGCACAUAUACUAAAAUUGGAACAAUACAGAGAAGAUUAGUGUGGCCCCUAAGCAAGGAUAGUAUGCAAAUUUGUGAAGCAUUCUAUAUUUUU